GACGAACGCUGGCGGCGUGCUUAACACAUGCAAGUCGAACGGUAAGGCCCUUUCGGGGGUACACGAGUGGCGAACGGGUGAGUAACACGUGGGUGAUCUGCCCUGCACUUUGGGAUAAGCCUGGGAAACUGGGUCUAAUACCGAAUAGGACUACGAUCUGCAUGGGGUGUGGUGGAAAGCUUUUGCGGUGUGGGAUGGGCCCGCGGCCUAUCAGGGUGUUGGUGGGGUGAUGGCCUACCAAGGCGACUACGGGUAGCCGGCCUGCGAGGGGGUCCGGCCACACUGGGACUGAGAUACGGCCCAGACUCCUACGGGAGGCAGCAGUGGGGAAUAUUGCACAAUGGGCGCAAGCCUGAUGCAGCGACGCCGCGUGGGGGAUGACGGCCUUCGGGUUGUAAACCUCUUUCAGCACAGACGAAGCGCAAGUGACGGUAUGUGCAGAAGAAGGACCGGCCAACUACGUGCCAGCCGCCGCAGUAA
RNAcentral lists this ribosomal RNA (480 nucleotides) under uncultured bacterium. RNAcentral describes it as "partial 16S ribosomal RNA". It matches the Rfam family "Bacterial small subunit ribosomal RNA", at positions 28 to 523 of the family's 1533-position model. The record is from RNAcentral.